AUCAGAAGGCCUGGGCAGACUUGGCCAGCCACCUGGAGCACUGUGCCCUUAAACUCUGGGCAUUCACUGGUGACCCACAGACACUGCUUUUUGGAGGACAGGGCAGAGUUGACCAUCCCAGUCUUGCCUGGAGGUCAUAGGACCGUUGUCACUGCAGCCUCAGGCCUGAUGGAUAAUCCCAUGACCCUCCAGAUCUGAGCCACGACCCACUCUGGGCCCUGCCGUGGGGGAGGCGGUGGGCCCGUGGGGGCUGCCUCACUGGCCUCCCUCGUCCUCUAUUCCGGGGUGGGGGUGGCUCUCAGCACCCUGGGGAAAAGGGUGGGGUCGAUGACUUGUCCCUGGCUCCCUCUUCCACCCAACCCUCCCCUCACCCCAUGCCUGCCAUAACCGCAGCUUCAGAGAAAGGUGCCACACUCGCUUGGCUGACAAUGUCGGGGAGUCCCCUGGGCUCCACACCAGGGCGUGUGCCGUUGGAAAGCCACAGUGACUGAAUCAUGUCCUUUUCAGCCAAAACUGGAAGACAGCCCAGCUCCCUGUCUUCAGGUGACCAGAUCUCUAAGUCACACUACUGGCCCCAGGGUCAAGUCCAGGCUCCCCAGCUGGGGCAUAUCCCAGGCUGAGUCCAGGCCUUGCACAGCUCCCUCCUUCCUCCCUGCAUGUGCUCUGAGCCUCCAGCCCGAUGCCUGGGAUGCCGAUGCCCCUUGGGCCCCAGACCCUACUACUCUUGAGUGACAGGCCUCUUCCUGGGGGUUUCUGUGUAUCCUCUGUGCAUCCCUCACAUCACCCACAUUAGAGUCCCUUCCUGUGAGGACAGAAGGGCCCUGAAGAGAGAGCUGGGCCCUGCAGAGAGAGCUGGCCCCUGGUGAGCUCCGCUUUCCUGCACUGACCCCUCCUGGGCUGCAGCUUCCCACCUGGCAGCUGCCGCCCCCCACGGCCGUGGUCCGAGGUCACCUGUCGUUCCUGUCCCCGCCACUCACCAAGCGCUCCCAGGUUCUCCGUCUGGAAGACCCUCUGUAGCGGGGGGAUGUAAAUGACUGCCAGCUGCCCCAGGAUGGACCCAAGGACGGAGUAGAGGAACAUGUGGUUCCUGAGAAAGCCGAUCUCAAAUAUCAGCUUGGUCUGCGGGGAGAAGGUCACACAGGGGAUUGUGUGCUGUCCACACCCCAGGUACAGGCAGGGGAGCUCUGGCUGUCCGUGCUGAGCCAGAGCUGCUCAAUGCUGUGGGCAGGGCCGGGGCAUUGCUGUUGAGAACACGCUGCAGCUCUGCAGCGAGGAGGGUCAGCCCGGGUCUCACCUGAGAGCGGCAGCUCAAGGCGUUGAAGAGAUCAAAAAACACAAAACAAGUGAACGUCAUCGUCGUGGUGCGGGGAGUGCUUGCUCUGUCUUCAGGCAUCUGGAAGGUGAGUACAAAGAUGUGAGCUGUGGCAGGAGGGCAGGGACUGCAGUCCCCAGCGUCUGCACCGCACCAGGGCUUAGAGAACAGGCCGGGGUGGCCCUCGCUCACCUCCUUCCAGAAGAUAAAGAGGGUCCCGCUGAUGAUGACGGCCGCAGACAUGAGGAUCUUCAGGAUGAGGGCUCUGCUGAGGAUGGUGUCCUUCACACUCCUUGGUGGCUGCCUGAAGGCGUCUUUGUCAACGGGCUCUACCCCCAAGCUGUUCCGAACAAGACAUGGACACUUUGAAAUGAACCAGGAAUGAAAUAAAAGACCCUUGAAACAGCUGUGCCUGAGCCUCCCAGGCCAAGUUGGCACAGGUGACAGGGCCAGGCAUUUGCUGAAAGCCCCCAGGCAUCGCACCUGCCCUCCUCGGCACCUUCCAGAAGCCCCAGAGCCUGGGUCCAUGGGCAGCUGUGCCCCUCCAUCUGUCCGGCAGACAGUGAAGGAAGACCACCCAGUAAGGCCAACCACACACAGUUCCUUACACCCAGGUGAUCUCCAUCACCCCGAGGGGACCCCCCACGUUGAGCCUGGAGAAACAGGCUCCAGGCUCCACCCUCCGCAGGGCCCCUCAUCGGCCGAGGGAGACCUGCCUCCAGCCAACUCCACACAGCAGGGUUGAGGCAAGACCAGCAGCGGGCGGUAUGGUGGGAGCAGCCGGUGAGGCCCCACUGCUCAGACACAGCUGAGGCCAGCUUUGUGGUCCCACUUCUGCUCCCAGGGAGAGCUGGCAGGAGAGGUAACCCUCACACUCGACUUUGGGGACACAAAUGAGGACUCUUUCCCUUGGCAGCUGUCACUGGUGAUAGCAGCACUGAGCUCCAGCGGAAGCAAUGGCUCUGUGCUCAUACGGUUACGCACGUGUGGCCAGAUGGGUCCCCUGACUUCAAAGCGCAUUCCUUCCCCCACACCACUUGGCCAGCUUGUUGAAGGGGAUAUUAAGUCGCGGAGCGGGUAGACUCCUGAGCACCUACUGAGUGGCAAGCCUUUUAUCUCUAGACAUCAGGGAUGAAACCACAAACUCCGCCUCCAUGAAGCUGAUGUUCUAAAGGGGGGACAGAUCACAAUCAGAUCCAUAAGGAAAAGUGUGUGUGGUGUGUGUGUGUGGUUGUGGUGUGUGUGUGUAUCUUCCUCUCUAGGGAAAAAUACAGCAGGGUGAGGGGAGUGAGUGGGAGUGCAAUCAGGGAAGACUUCCUGAAGGCAGUGACUGGAAUGAAGAAUGAGAACGAGCCAUGCACGUUGCCCAGAGAGAGCAUCCAGGCAGAGGGAGCAGAAAGUUCCAUCCUCGCCAAGCUCUGCCGGUCCAGGUAUUUUCUCCUCUGCCUUCUACUCCCAGUCUCACUCCAGUGCAACACACUUCAGUUUUCUGGGAACUCCUAAUGGAAAGUGGCUGUAUUUGUUCAUCCCUAUAUCAUUGGGGCACAGCCAGCAGCUCCUGGAGGAAGCCCCGCAGGUGGGUAAGGAGACACAGGGCUCCCAGCCGGCCCGGCCUCACCUCUGUGCUGGUGGCCCAUCCAUGAUGAUGUUGAUCCACAGGAUCUGCAUGGCGUUGAGGGGGCUGGGCAGGUUGAACACGGUGGACAGAGUGAUGAGACUCAGGGCAGAGAUGCUCCUGCGGGGCAC
RNAcentral lists this non-coding RNA (3058 nucleotides) under Pongo abelii (Sumatran orangutan). Lineage: Eukaryota; Metazoa; Chordata; Mammalia; Primates; Hominidae. The record is from RNAcentral.